Podarcis lilfordi (Lilford's wall lizard) is the source of this 3016-nucleotide non-coding RNA. Lineage: Eukaryota; Metazoa; Chordata; Lepidosauria; Squamata; Lacertidae. The record is from the annotation of a GenBank genome assembly.
AGCCACUAACCUCUGGCAGUGCAGCUGAGGCCUGAAACCCUCCAGAAAGAGCAUAUCUUACCACGUCCGGCACAAUCCGAAUGGGAGUGUGUAACUUGCAACAGCAUGUCCAGAGUUGUGUUUAUACUGCAAACAGCCCAAGUGGGUCAGGUCUGCUUUUAUUAAACCCGCCGCUAACAACUCUCCAGUAUAACUGAAAGCGAAUGACAGCAGCAUCUAGCACUGUUCACUUUAGUUAUACAAUUAGGCGAAUUUACAUUAAAUCAAUCAUGGAAUCAUAGGAAGUAUCGCAGCUCCUUGAUGUAAGUAUCAAAACCAAAUACUUUCCUUUACACGGCUGACCUUUGUCAGCUCCGUGUAAACUGAACCAAUGAUGAGUCAUUGAGUUAGCAAAUUAGCUUCUCGUAGUUGUUGACAGGGUCAGCAGAAAAUCUGUGGCGUUUUCAACAACAACAAAAACGAACUGAUCUCUUAGGUACUGAAUAUUAUUACUCACUUGCUGCAUUCAGUCUUCAUAAUCUCCGAUGACAUUCAGAAAUCCUCAGGAGUGGAGUGGGAAGAAAAGGAGACCCAGUGUAUUUGCGCUAUUCUUUGUAUAACCGCUUGUAUGAAGUGCGAACAAAUUUGUGAUGCCACAAUGUAAAGAUUGUACCAGCUGCUCUUUGUGACGAUAUCCUUCCCCACGCCACAAAAAACCUUCCUGCACCUAUUAAGGUUAUUCAACUGUGUGUUGCUUCUUCAAAAAAUGAGAACAAGAUGAGAGCAAGGGCAGCUUAAGGUGCUGAAACUUGGAAGGGAAGGUGGGAUUGAAGAUGCUCACGACUUCCUCCUCACUGAGCCAAUUAUGAAUUAGGAACAGAUCCUUUAAAUGGAGAAAGUGUGGUUCAAUAAAUUAUGGGUUCUGGCAACUUUGAGCCAGAUAACAUCCUAUCUUGGGGUUAUACAAGGAAAACCAAAGGUUACUAAAUCUGAACAAAUAAUUAAGGAUCUUUGGAAUAAACAUAAAGGAGUGACAGGACAUAUACGCUUUCCCUGUUUUAUAAUGGCUAUGUAGAUUUAUAUUUAAGGUUCGAGGACACAUUCUGGUCAGGCAAAAACACUUGAGGGGGUGGAACAAAACCAGCGAUAUUUGCAACCUGGGAAGGGCCGUGGGCUGGGGAGAGGACCCACGUAGGAAUCAAAACCAGGGUCCUAGUGCAUACCCUUCAAUACCUUGAAGCCAAAAUCUGGGACGCCAUCUUCCUGGUUUCCAUCUGCUCUUUUCUUACCGCAAGAACAUGGCAGCCAUAUUGGUUGCUUUCUUUCAGGGGGAAAUUGGGCGGCAAAAUCACACGAGAUCACGCACACUUGCGGGGUAUGCUAGUGCCAGAGCUACGCCAUGAUGUAAGCUAUCAUGCUGCCAUCUUUGGUGCUGUAUACUAAAUGUUCAGAGCACACAGUCCUUGUACUAGUCACCCCACUUUUGGACUUGUCCAAGCAUAACUUAGCAAAGGAAUACUACUAAGGAAAGAGAGAGAGAGAUGUCCAGGGCUUUUAUAUAUAUAUAUAUAUAUAAACAGAACUCACUAGACCUCAGCUCAGGCACCUCUCAGGUAGACGUCAUUGCCAUCCUAAGAAAAAGAGGGAGAAGUUUGUAGUGAGUUCUGGCACCACUUUUUCUAGAAAAAUAGCACUGGAUGUGCCCUGAAAGCUGGGGCAAAGGCAUUUAGCUCCCUUCAUCAGGGAACACUUACUUAAUAUAAUACAUAUCAGAUAACUUAGUUCCUUAUUUAACACUGCAUCCAAAUGCAUAACUUCUAGGGUGGUCCUACUUUACAGAAGACUUUUUGAAGAGGCUGCCUGGUCCAAGUCCAGUUUAAAGAUCAAGAACCCCCCAAAAGAGGAGCGGGGGUCUUGAAAUCGCCCAUCAAAACUACAGCAGACUGAGCAGUAACAUAGGACACCAUGUCACAACCACCACCACCACCCCGAACACAGAGUGGGAGGUAUUGUAUUUCUAGUUGCACUAGUUAUUUCUGACUUUGCGUCGCUACAUAUAAAUCUGCACAUGCGACUUUGAUGCAAAUCAGCACCCACUUUUGUCCUCUUUUUUGAUGAUGUCUAAAUGGCCAACCUACUGUCUUCUCUUCCCUCCAGAGGGACUUUAUAUAACUGUGCUGGUCUUCCGAAUCUAUUUUGCUUUUGUGCCAAUAUGUUAGCCAACUCUGUUGUUCCUUCUAAUAUUUGGCAUUUGCUUUUGAAUUAUGCUUGUCCAUCUGUUAUUUGUCCUUUUCGUGGUGCAUUCUGCCCGUUCCGUUUGUUCUUCUUCGUUUUUUUUCUUUUUAAAAAAAACCAGUUACAUUUUCUACCACACCAGCACCGAAAAUUCUACCAGUAUAUCUGUUUUACUUUCAUCUCCUAUCUUUUCAGGUCUAGCCUGCACCUCCCUGUUCAGGGAAUAUGAUUCACCUGCACCUUCAUGUAUCCUUGGGUGACUGAAGGUGGGGCAGGUCAUCUGGGGCAAUGGAAGGGUGUGUACUUGGGACAAGGAAGCUGAGAGGGCGGGAGCAAGUCUGCAACUGAUUCCCAGUUCAGCUAAAAUCCAUUGUCAGAAAUCAGACCUCAGUGCCUUGAUCUCCUCAUCUCCCCCUCUCUGCAGCUUCCCCUCUGCAACAAUGAGAAGUUACAAGUGCCCCCACAGCAUUUGCAUGAAGGAUGACAGGACUUAACUGUGCAAUUGGAGGAGGUGCUGAUUUCAGCGCAACUUUCUCAAGCAUACCUUUCGCAGAAAAGUCAGACUUAAGAACAUAAGAAGAGCAUCCAGUGCUGCUUCCUGUUCUCAUUGUGGCCAGUCAGAUGCCUGUGGGAAGCCAGCAAGCAGGAUCUGGGCACAAGAGCACUCUGUCCUCCCAUGGCUUCCAGAAACUGGUUUUUGGAAGCAUUGUCGUCUCCAACUGUGGAAGAGGAAGAAGAAGAAGAAGAAGAAGAAGAAGAAGAAGAAGAAGAAGAAGAAGAAGAAGAGGAGGAGGAGGAGGAG